RNAcentral lists this ribosomal RNA (413 nucleotides) under uncultured bacterium. Its description in RNAcentral is "bacterial SSU rRNA". It matches the Rfam family "Bacterial small subunit ribosomal RNA", at positions 917 to 1333 of the family's 1533-position model. The record is from RNAcentral.
GGGCCCGCACAAGCGGUGGAGCAUGUGGUUUAAUUCGAUGAUACGCGAGGAACCUUACCAGGGCUUAAAUGUAGUGGGACAGGUCUAGAGAUAGACCCUUCUUCGGACUCAUUACAAGGUGCUGCAUGGUUGUCGUCAGCUCGUGCCGUGAGGUGUCAGGUUAAGUCCUAUAACGAGCGCAACCCCCAUCGUUAGUUGCCAACGAGUAAUGUCGGGAACUCUAACGAAACUGCCGGUGCAAACCGUGAGGAAGGUGGGGAUGACGUCAAAUCAUCACGGCCCUUACGUCCUGGGCUACACACGUGCUACAAUGGUCGGUACAGAGAGCAGCCACUACGCGAGUAGGAGCGAAUCUUCAAAGCCGAUCACAGUUCGGAUCGGAGUCUGCAACUCGACUCCGUGAAGCUGGAAUC